Caenorhabditis elegans is the source of this 145-nucleotide non-coding RNA. Lineage: Eukaryota; Metazoa; Nematoda; Chromadorea; Rhabditida; Rhabditidae. The record is from Ensembl.
GAAAACGCUUGACGACGAUUGCCCGACGCGUCAAAACUUGCUAACGGAUGAAGCGAGGGAAGCUGAUGGCAAAUGAGAGCGAAAUUUUGGAUUGCGUAACAUCUUUUGCGCAAGAGGAAGAAAAUGGAAAAAAAAACGAAAACAA